This 68-nucleotide transfer RNA is filed under the name Marmota monax (woodchuck). Its description in RNAcentral is "tRNA.Ala". The stretch from base 5 to 65 matches the Rfam family "tRNA", at positions 6 to 65 of the family's 71-position model. Rfam says of the family: Transfer RNA (tRNA) molecules are approximately 80 nucleotides in length. Their secondary structure includes four short double-helical elements and three loops (D, anti-codon, and T loops). Further hydrogen bonds mediate the characteristic L-shaped molecular structure. tRNAs have two regions of fundamental functional importance: the anti-codon, which is responsible for specific mRNA codon recognition, and the 3' end, to which the tRNAs corresponding amino acid is attached (by aminoacyl-tRNA synthetases). tRNAs cope with the degeneracy of the genetic code in two manners: having more than one tRNA (with a specific anti-codon) for a particular amino acid; and 'wobble' base-pairing, i.e. permitting non-standard base-pairing at the 3rd anti-codon position. Lineage: Eukaryota; Metazoa; Chordata; Mammalia; Rodentia; Sciuridae. The record is from RNAcentral.
GGAUUGUGGCUCAGUGGUAGAGCACUUGCCUAGCAUGUGUGAGGUCCUGGGUUCCAUCCUCAGCACCA